GAUGAACGCUGGCGGCGUGCCUAAUACAUGCAAGUCGAGCGAACAGAUGAGGAGCUUGCUCCUCUGACGUUAGCGGCGGACGGGUGAGUAACACGUGGAUAACCUACCUAUAAGACUGGGAUAACUUCGGGAAACCGGAGCUAAUACCGGAUAAUAUAUUGAACCGCAUGGUUCAAUAGUGAAAGACGGUUUUGCUGUCACGUAUAGAUGGAUCCGCGCCGCAUUAGCUAGUUGGUAAGGUAACGGCUUACCAAGGCAACGAUGCGUAGCCGACCUGAGAGGGGGAUCGGCCACACUGGAACUGAGACACGGUCCAGACUCCUACGGGAGGCAGCAGUAGGGAAUCUUCCGCAAUGGGCGAAAGCCUGACGGAGCAACGCCGCGUGAGUGAUGAAGGUCUUCGGAUCGUAAAACUCUGUUAUUAGGGAAGAACAAAUGUGUAAGUAACUAUGCACGUCUUGACGGUACCUAAUCAGAAAGCCACGGCUAACUACGUG
Molecule: ribosomal RNA, 497 nt
Filed under: uncultured bacterium
Lineage: Bacteria
Description: partial 16S ribosomal RNA
Rfam family: Bacterial small subunit ribosomal RNA
Source: RNAcentral